CAGCCGCCACGGGAAUACGUAGGUGGCAAGCGUUGUCCGGAAUUAUUGGGCGUAAAGGGCUCGCAGGCGGUUUCUUAAGUCUGAUGUGAAAGCCCCCGGCUCAACCGGGGAGGGUCAUUGGAAGCUGGGAAACUUGAGUGCAGAAGAGGAGAGUGGAAUUCCACGUGUAGCGGUGAAAUGCGUAGAGAUGUGGAGGAACACCAGUGGCGAAGGCGACUCUCUGGUCUGUAACUGACGCUGAGGGGCGAAAGCGUGGGGAGCGAACAGGAUUAGAUACCCGUGUAGUCCCUGUCUCUUAUGA
RNAcentral lists this ribosomal RNA (301 nucleotides) under uncultured bacterium. RNAcentral describes it as "partial 16S ribosomal RNA". It matches the Rfam family "Bacterial small subunit ribosomal RNA", at positions 509 to 809 of the family's 1533-position model. The record is from RNAcentral.